AAACCAACAGGGAUUGCCUUAGUAACGGCGAGUGAAGCGGCAACAGCUCAAAUUUGAAAUCUGGCUCUUUUAGAGUCCGAGUUGUAAUUUGCAGAGGGCGCUUUGGCGUUGGCAGCGGUCCAAGUUCCUUGGAACAGGACGUCACAGAGGGUGAGAAUCCCGUACGUGGUCGCUAGCCAUCACCGUGUAAAGCCCCUUCGACGAGUCGAGUUGUUUGGGAAUGCAGCUCUAAAUGGGAGGUAAAUUUCUUCUAAAGCUAAAUACUGGCCAGAGACCGAUAGCGCACAAGUAGAGUGAUCGAAAGAUGAAAAGCACUUUGGAAAGAGAGUCAAAUAGCACGUGAAAUUGUUGAAAGGGAAGCGCUUGCAGCCAGACUUGCCUGUAGUUGCUCAUCCGGGCUUUUGCCCGGUGCACUCUUCUGCGGGCAGGCCAGCAUCAGUUUGGGCGGUUGGAUAAAGGUCUCUGUCAUGUACCUCUCUUCGGGGAGAACUUAUAGGGGAGACGACAUACAACCAGCCUGGACUGAGGUCCGCGCAUUUGCUAGGAUGCUGGCGUAAUGGCUGUAAGCGGC
RNAcentral lists this ribosomal RNA (571 nucleotides) under Neocamarosporium betae. Its description in RNAcentral is "partial 28S rRNA". It matches the Rfam family "Eukaryotic large subunit ribosomal RNA", at positions 62 to 648 of the family's 3401-position model. The record is from RNAcentral. Lineage: Eukaryota; Fungi; Ascomycota; Dothideomycetes; Neocamarosporiaceae.